GUGUCAGCAGCCGCGGUAAUACAGAGACCCCGAGCGUUAUCCGGAUUUACUGGGCGUAAAGCGUGAGCAGCCGGUCGUAUUAGUCUGAUGUAAAAGGACGGGGCCCAACUUCGUCAUCGCAUUAGAGACGGUACGACUAGAGUGGGUAAGAGGUAGGCGGAACGUGUAGUGUAGGGGUGAAAUCCACUGAUAUUACACGGAACACCAAAAGCGAAGGCAGCCUACUGGUGCCCUACUGACGGUCAGUUACGAAAGCGUGGGGAUCAAAAAGGAUUAGAUACCCUUGUAGUCCACGCCCUAAAGGAUGUCUACUAGCUAUCGGGAGCAUCGACCCUUCCGGUGGCGAAGCUAACGCGUUAAGUAGACCGCCUGGGAAGUACGAGCGCAAGCUUAAAACUCAAAGAAAUAGGCGGGAACUCGCACAAGCAGUGGAUCAUGUGGUUCAAUUCGACUCUAACCGAGGAACCUCACCAAGGCUUGAAAUCCAGCUGCACGCUUGGGAAACCAAGAAGCCUUCGAGGGUGCUGGACAGGUGCUGCACGGCUGUCGUCAGCUCGUCACGUGAGUGGUCUCCUUAAGUGGAUUAACGAGCGCAACCCCUACGGUGUGUUAUACGUGUCACGCCGGACUGCUCCGGUAACGGAGAGGAAGGUGGGGACGACGUCAAGUCAGCGUGGCCCUCUGAUGCCUUGGGCUACACACAUGAUACAAUGGGCGUUACAACGGGUUGCCAAGCCGCGAGGCGGAGCUAAUCCCAUCAAAGGCGCCCCCAGUUCGGAUUGGAGGCUGCAACUUGCCUCCAUGAAGUUGGAAUUGCUAGUAAUCGCGGAUCAGAAUGCCGCGGUGAAUACGUUCUCGAGUUUUGCACACACCGCCCGUC
RNAcentral lists this ribosomal RNA (880 nucleotides) under uncultured bacterium. RNAcentral describes it as "bacterial SSU rRNA". It matches the Rfam family "Bacterial small subunit ribosomal RNA", at positions 505 to 1398 of the family's 1533-position model. The record is from RNAcentral.